UUAUGUGGCCAGAUUACCCCUGCACGUGCCCGAUCACGUCAGAUCUCGGAAGCCAAGCAGGGCUGCGACAGGAUUGUGCUUGGGUGGGUGGCCACCAGGGCUUGCCACGUGUUGCAGGCG
This 120-nucleotide ribosomal RNA is filed under the name Petromyzon marinus (sea lamprey). Lineage: Eukaryota; Metazoa; Chordata; Hyperoartia; Petromyzontiformes; Petromyzontidae. The record is from RNAcentral.